GUGCUCGCUCCGGCAGCACAUAUACUACAACUGCAACCACACAGAGAAGAGACUAGCAUGGCCCCUGCGCAAGGAUGACACGUAAAUUCAUGAAGCGGUCCAUGUUUUU
Molecule: small nuclear RNA, 109 nt
Filed under: Physeter macrocephalus (sperm whale)
Lineage: Eukaryota; Metazoa; Chordata; Mammalia; Artiodactyla; Physeteridae
Source: RNAcentral